CACGAGGGUCUCACUGUCUUAAGGAAAUUUCCAGUGAAAUUGAAUUUGUAGUGAAGAUGCUACAUCCAAAUUGUUAGACAAGAAGUCCCCAUGGAACUUUACUGGAAACUUAUGUGGCUUAAAUUAAUUUAUUUCUUACAAAUAAAUAGUUUUUAAAUGUGGUGUUAACCUCUCGGAUUAACGAGGGUUAGAAAAGCUCACUCUUUUAUUUUAAGAAAGCCAACUCAAAAAUUUAUGUCUUUGGGAUUUGAUAAGUGGGACAGUUUGGUUGGGGCGACCGCCUUUAAAAAAGUAACGAAGGCGGGCUUAAGAUAACUUUUUAGUUAUGUCUGACUGCCAAGGGGGAAUCCUGAGCAGACACUUAUUUUUUAGGUGGGUUUAAGUGACCCGUUAAUUUAGGGUGAAAUAUUUAACGAUAAGCA
This 422-nucleotide ribosomal RNA is filed under the name Endopachys grayi. RNAcentral's name for it is "partial 16S ribosomal RNA". It matches the Rfam family "Bacterial large subunit ribosomal RNA", at positions 2003 to 2454 of the family's 2925-position model. Lineage: Eukaryota; Metazoa; Cnidaria; Anthozoa; Scleractinia; Dendrophylliidae. The record is from RNAcentral.